RNAcentral lists this ribosomal RNA (245 nucleotides) under uncultured bacterium. RNAcentral describes it as "partial 16S ribosomal RNA". It matches the Rfam family "Bacterial small subunit ribosomal RNA", at positions 796 to 1041 of the family's 1533-position model. The record is from RNAcentral.
CACGCCGUAAACGAUGAAUACUAGGUGUAGGGGGUAUCGACCCCCCCUGUGCCGCAGUAAACACAAUAAGUACUCCGCCUGGGAAGUACGAUCGCAAGAUUAAAACUCAAAGGAAUUGACGGGGACCCGCACAAGCAGCGGAGCAUGUGGUUUAAUUCGAAGCAACGCGAAGAACCUUACCUGGACUUGACAUCCCCGGAAUGACUCGUAAUGGAGGAAGCCCCACGGGGCAGGGAGACAGGUGG